GGAACAUCGUCACACUAUCGAUCAACUUGUUGGUACUUUUGAAGCUUUGUAUAUAUGGUAUAUGGCAUGUAUAGGCUAGUGUCAUUUUGGUAUGUUUUGAACUUUGAAUUUAGCCAUGUGAGUUGGCUUGUAAAUGGUGUUGUUGAUGAAGUUGAAUUUGACUUAUGUUAUGAGUUAAUAUGUGAUAUGUGAUGUAUUUAUG
This 202-nucleotide long non-coding RNA is filed under the name Gossypium barbadense (sea-island cotton). Its description in RNAcentral is "long non-coding RNA (GBAR_LNC007282)". The record is from RNAcentral. Lineage: Eukaryota; Viridiplantae; Streptophyta; Magnoliopsida; Malvales; Malvaceae.